RNAcentral lists this ribosomal RNA (381 nucleotides) under uncultured bacterium. RNAcentral describes it as "bacterial SSU rRNA". It matches the Rfam family "Bacterial small subunit ribosomal RNA", at positions 29 to 435 of the family's 1533-position model. The record is from RNAcentral.
AACGAACGCUGGCGGCAUGCCUAACACAUGCAAGACGAGCGCCCGUAGCAAUACGGGAGCGGCGCACGGGUGAGUAACGCGUGGGAACCUGCCCAGAGGUCUGGGACAACCGCGGGAAACUGCGGCUGAUACCGGAUGAUUCCUGAGGGACAAAGAUUUAUCGCCUUUGGAGGGGCCCGCGUCGGAUUAGGUAGUUGGUGGGGUAACGGCUCACCAAGCCUAUGAUCCGUAACUGGUCUGAGAGGAUGACCAGUCACACUGGGACUGAGACACGGCCCAGACUCCUACGGGAGGCAGCAGUGGGGAGGUAUUGGACAAUGGGGGGCGAACCCUGAUCCAGCAAUGCCGCGUGGGUGAUGAAGGCCUCGGUUGUAAGCCUUC